GAGUUUGAUCGUGGCUCAGAUUGAACGCUGGCGGCAGGCCUAACACAUGCAAGUCGAGCGGAUGAAGGGAGCUUGCUCCUGGAUUCAGCGGCGGACGGGUGAGUAAUGCCUAGGAAUCUGCCUGGUAGUGGGGGAUAACGUCCGGAAACGGGCGCUAAUACCGCAUACGUCCUGAGGGAGAAAGUGGGGGAUCUUCGGACCUCACGCUAUCAGAUGAGCCUAGGUCGGAUUAGCUAGUUGGUGGGGUAAAGGCCUACCAAGGCGACGAUCCGUAACUGGUCUGAGAGGAUGAUCAGUCACACUGGAACUGAGACACGGUCCAGACUCCUACGGGAGGCAGCAGUGGGGAAUAUUGGACAAUGGGCGAAAGCCUGAUCCAGCCAUGCCGCGUGUGUGAAGAAGGUCUUCGGAUUGUAAAGCACUUUAAGUUGGAGGAAGGGCAGUAAGUUAAUACCUUGCUGUUUUGACGUUACCAACAGAAUAAGCACCGGCUAACUUCGUGCCAGCAGCCG
Molecule: ribosomal RNA, 512 nt
Filed under: uncultured microorganism
Description: bacterial SSU rRNA
Rfam family: Bacterial small subunit ribosomal RNA
Source: RNAcentral